This 166-nucleotide unclassified non-coding RNA is filed under the name uncultured Aspergillus. Its description in RNAcentral is "sequence contains ITS1". Lineage: Eukaryota; Fungi; Ascomycota; Eurotiomycetes; Eurotiales; Aspergillaceae. The record is from RNAcentral.
CCGAGUGAGGGUCCCCUCGCGGGGCCCAACCUCCCACCCGUGUCUACUGUACCCUGUUGCUUCGGCGGGUCGACCCCCCUUCCGGGGGCGCCUGCCCGCCGGAGACCCCCAACAUGAACACUGUACGAGAGUAUUGCAGUCUGAGUGGAUUGAUACCAAUCAGUUA